Molecule: ribosomal RNA, 254 nt
Filed under: uncultured bacterium
Lineage: Bacteria
Description: partial 16S ribosomal RNA
Rfam family: Bacterial small subunit ribosomal RNA
Source: RNAcentral
UACGGGGGGAGCAAGCGUUGUUCGGAUUUACUGGGCGUAAAGGGCGCGUAGGCGGUCAGCACAAGUCAGUUGUGAAAUCUCCGGGCUUAACUCGGAAAGGUCAACUGAUACUGUGCGACUAGAGUGCAGAAGGGGCAACUGGAAUUCUCGGUGUAGCGGUGAAAUGCGUAGAUAUCGGGAGGAACACCUGUGGCGAAAGCGGCGCACUGGACCACAUCUGACGCUGAGGCGCGAAAGCUAGGGGAGCAAACAGG